GUACUCACUUCAGGGGCACAGACUAAACCUGGAACAAUAUAGAGAAGAUCAGCAUAGUCCCUGUAUGAGAGUGACAUGCAAACUAGUGACACCUUCUGCAUUUUU
Molecule: small nuclear RNA, 105 nt
Organism: Vulpes vulpes (red fox)
Lineage: Eukaryota; Metazoa; Chordata; Mammalia; Carnivora; Canidae
Source: Ensembl